UGCGUGAGCGGACGAAAACAACAACACCUAAAAUGUGGAAUAUAGCAUAUAGUCGACAAGAGAAAUCUACGAAAAACAAACAAAACUUUCAACAACGGAUCUCUUGGUUCUCGCAUCGAUGAAGAGCGCAGCGAAAUGCGAUACCUAGUGUGAAUUGCAGCCAUCGUGAAUCAUCGAGUUCUUGAACGCACAUUGCGCCCCUCGGCAUUCCGGGGGGCAUGCCUGUUUGAGCGUCGUUUCCAUCUUGCGCGUGCGCAGAGUUGGGGGAGCGGAGCGGACGACGUGUAAAGAGCGUCGGAGCUGCGACUCGCCUGAAAGGGAGCGAAGCUGGCCGAGCGAACUAGACUUUUUUUCAGGGACGCUUGGCGGCCGAGAGCGAGUGUUGCGAGACAACAAAAAGCUCGACCUCAAAUCAGGUAGGAAUACCCGCUGAACUUAAGCAUAUCAAUA
RNAcentral lists this ribosomal RNA (450 nucleotides) under Pichia kudriavzevii. Its description in RNAcentral is "eukaryotic LSU rRNA". The stretch from base 84 to 236 matches the Rfam family "5.8S ribosomal RNA". The record is from RNAcentral. Lineage: Eukaryota; Fungi; Ascomycota; Pichiomycetes; Pichiales; Pichiaceae.